RNAcentral lists this non-coding RNA (98 nucleotides) under marine eukaryotic metagenome. Its description in RNAcentral is "SAM riboswitch (S box leader)". It matches the Rfam family "SAM riboswitch aptamer (S box leader)". From Rfam's summary of the family: The SAM riboswitch is found upstream of a number of genes which code for proteins involved in methionine or cysteine biosynthesis in Gram-positive bacteria. The record is from RNAcentral.
CUUAUCAAGAAAGAUGGAGGGAUGGGCCCUGUGAAAUCUUGGCAACCUAGCUUAACGGUGCCAAAUCCCCCCGCAACAACUGUUGUUGAAAGAUAAGA